This 316-nucleotide unclassified non-coding RNA is filed under the name uncultured fungus. Its description in RNAcentral is "partial contains 5.8S ribosomal RNA and internal transcribed spacer 2". The stretch from base 1 to 133 matches the Rfam family "5.8S ribosomal RNA", at positions 22 to 154 of the family's 154-position model. Lineage: Eukaryota; Fungi. The record is from RNAcentral.
UGGUUCUGGCAUCGAUGAAGAACGCAGCGAAAUGCGAUAAGUAAUGUGAAUUGCAGAAUUCAGUGAAUCAUCGAAUCUUUGAACGCACAUUGCGCCCUUUGGUAUUCCGAAGGGCAUGCCUGUUCGAGCGUCAUUAUAACCACUCAAGCUCGUGCUUGGUAUUGGGGUUCGCGGACAGCGGCCCCUAAAGUCAGUGGCGGUGCUUGCAAGCUCUACGCGUAGUAAUCUCUCCUCGCGACAGGGUCUUGCAGGUGGCUGGCCAACAACCCCCAACUAUCACCAGGUUGACCUCGGAUCAGGUAGGGAUACCCGCUGA